RNAcentral lists this ribosomal RNA (631 nucleotides) under Echinolittorina millegrana. RNAcentral describes it as "eukaryotic LSU rRNA". It matches the Rfam family "Eukaryotic large subunit ribosomal RNA", at positions 367 to 812 of the family's 3401-position model. The record is from RNAcentral. Lineage: Eukaryota; Metazoa; Mollusca; Gastropoda; Littorinimorpha; Littorinidae.
AAAAGAACUUUGAAGAGAGAGUUCAACAGUACGUGAAACCGCCUAGAGGUAAACGGGUGGAUCCGCAAAGUCGGCCCGCGGAAUUCAGCUCGGAUGGCYGGCGCGAUGGCUGGGUAAGGGAUCUUGACGGACCCUCCCGGCUGACGACGCUGGCCGGCCGUGUGCACUUUCCGCGGGCAGAGCGCCACGACCGGUUCUCGGGCGGUCAAAAGGCGGUGAGGAAGGUAGGUGGGCGCUYCGGCGCUUACUGUUAUAGCCUCGCCUGUCCCGAUCCGCUCUGGGGACCGAGGAGCCGCCGCCGGUGUAGGCCGCCUCGCUCUCCUGGGGAGUUCGACUGGCAGAGACUGGGCAACCGUGUCUGCCGACCGCUCUCUGGGAUGGAUGGGGUGGGCCCGCCGGCACAGGGUCAGUGGCGAAUCGGUCGGCCCUCCACCCGACCCGUCUUGAAACACGGACCAAGGAGUCUAACAUGCGCGCGAGUCGUUGGGUAGUACGAAACCCGAAGGCGAAGUGAAAGCGAGGGCCGUCUCGUACGUGCCUAGGUGGGAUCCCGGGGCUUCUUGUUCUGGGCGCACCACCGGCCCGUCUCGUCCGCGCUGUCGGUGAGGCGGAGCAGGAGCGUGCAUGUUGG